UCCGGUUUGUCACCGGCAGUCUCCCUAGAGUGCCCUUGCGUAGCAACUAGGGACAAGGGUUGCGCUCGUUGCGGGACUUAACCCAACAUCUCACGACACGAGCUGACGACAGCCAUGCAGCACCUCGACUCAAGUCUCUUGCGAGAAGUCUCUGUUUCCAAAGAUGUUCUUAAGCCGUUCGAGCCCAGGUAAGGUUCUUCGCGUUGCGUCGAAUUAAACCACAUCAUCCACCGCUUGUGCGGGCCCCCGUCAAUUCCUUUGGGUUUCAGUCUUGCGACCGUACUCCCCAGGCGGAGUGCUUAAUGUGUUGACUUCGGCACAGCAGGGGUCGAUACCCGCUACACCAAGCACUCAUCGUUUACGGCGUGGACUAC
Molecule: unclassified non-coding RNA, 374 nt
Filed under: uncultured Acidobacteriota bacterium
Lineage: Bacteria; Pseudomonadati; Acidobacteriota
Description: uncultured Acidobacteria bacterium contains 16S-23S intergenic spacer region
Source: RNAcentral